UUUACCGGGUCAGCUGGUAAGUAAAUAAAUAGCUACUUACCUAGAUUAAACAUCAUCAAAAUGGAUAUUAAUUUUUCAUUUGUUGUUUCAGCUCUUUCAAUCAUGACACGUUUCAUAGCUCGCCAAACUUUGGCAUCAGGAUCCGCAAAAUCGGAAGAACUUGCGGAAAUCACCGGCUUGAUCGACACUAAGACACCACUGCAAUCUUGACAACAUUUUUGCAAGCUUUAUCAUACAUUUAAGUAUUCCAAAAGUGCAACGAAGAGAGGAGAACGCGAAGGAAAUUUUAUUUGGUACAAACUCUUCAACAGAUAUUACCAUGUUUUGAAGCGUCGA
Long non-coding RNA from Cotesia glomerata, 336 nucleotides. RefSeq lists it as uncharacterized. Lineage: Eukaryota; Metazoa; Arthropoda; Insecta; Hymenoptera; Braconidae. The record is from RefSeq and is a predicted model, not a curated record. The transcript is spliced from 3 exons.